UCUCCGUUGGCGAACCAGCGGAGGGAUCAUUACAGAGUUGCAAAACUCCCAAACCAUUGUGAACGUUACCUAUCCCGUUGCUUCGGCGGGCGGCCCGGGCCCCGCGCCUGGCGCCCCCCGGCCCCCCGUGGGCGCCCGCCGGAGGUAAACCAAACCCUUGAAUUGCAUGGCCUCUCUGAGUCUUCUGUACUGAAUAAGUCAAAACUUUCAACAACGGAUCUCUUGGUUCUG
This 231-nucleotide unclassified non-coding RNA is filed under the name plant metagenome. Its description in RNAcentral is "partial contains small subunit ribosomal RNA, internal transcribed spacer 1, and 5.8S ribosomal RNA". The record is from RNAcentral.